RNAcentral lists this ribosomal RNA (1202 nucleotides) under Eggplant big bud phytoplasma. Its description in RNAcentral is "bacterial SSU rRNA". It matches the Rfam family "Bacterial small subunit ribosomal RNA", at positions 173 to 1374 of the family's 1533-position model. Lineage: Bacteria; Bacillati; Mycoplasmatota; Mollicutes; Acholeplasmatales; Acholeplasmataceae. The record is from RNAcentral.
AUAGGAAGAUAAAAGGCAUCUUUUAUCUCUUAAAAGACCUAGUAAUAGGUAUGCUUUAGGAGGGGCUUGCGCCAUAUUAGUUAGUUGGUAGGGUAAUGGCCUACCAAGACGAUGAUGUGUAGCUGGACUGAGAGGUUGAACAGCCACAUUGGGACUGAGACACGGCCCAAACUCCUACGGGAGGCAGCAGUAGGGAAUUUUCGGCAAUGGAGGAAACUCUGACCGAGCAACGCCGCGUGAAUGACGAAGUACUUCGGUAUGUAAAGUUCUUUUAUCAAGGAAGAAAAGCAAAUGGCGAACCAUUUGUUUGCCGGUACUUGAUGAAUAAGCCCCGGCUAAUUAUGUGCCAGCAGCCGCGGUAAGACAUAAGGGGCAAGUGUUAUCCGGAAUUAUUGGGCGUAAAGGGUGCGUAGGCGGUCUAGUAAGUCAGUGGUGUAAUGGCAACGCUUAACGUUGUCCGGCUAUUGAAACUGCUAAACUUGAGUUAGAUAGAGGCGAGUGGAAUUCCAUGUGUAGCGGUAAAAUGCGUAAAUAUAUGGAGGAACACCAGAGGCGUAGGCGGCUCGCUGGGUCUUAACUGACGCUGAGGCACGAAAGCGUGGGGAGCAAACAGGAUUAGAUACCCUGGUAGUCCACGCCGUAAACGAUGAGUACUAAGUGUCGGGUUAAACCGGUACUGAAGUUAACACAUUAAGUACUCCGCCUGAGUAGUACGUACGCAAGUAUGAAACUUAAAGGAAUUGACGGGACUCCGCACAAGCGGUGGAUCAUGUUGUUUAAUUCGAAGAUACCCGAAAAACCUUACCAGGUCUUGACAUGUUUUUGCAAAAUGAUAGUAAUAUCGUGGAGGUUACCAGAAACACAGGUGGUGCAUGGUUGUCGUCAGCUCGUGUCGUGAGAUGUUAGGUUAAGUCCUAAAACGAGCGAAACCCUUAUCGUUAGUUGCCAGCACGUUAUGGUGGGGACUUUAACGAGACUGCCAAUGAUAAAUUGGAGGAAGGUGAGGAUCACGUCAAAUCAGCAUGCCCCUUAUGACCUGGGCUACAAACGUGAUACAAUGGCUGUUACAAAGGGUAGCUGAAACGCAAGUUCUUGGCCAAUCCCCAAAAACAGUCCCAGUCCGGAUUGAAGUCUGCAACUCGACUUCAUGAAGUUGGAAUCGCUAGUAAUCGCGAAUCAGCAUGUCGCGGUGAAUACGUUCU